GUGGGGAAUUUUGGACAAUGGGCGCAAGCCUGAUCCAGCAAUGCCGCGUGCAGGAAGAAGGCCUUCGGGUUGUAAACUGCUUUUGUACGGAACGAAACGGUCCUGGUUAAUACCUGGGGCUAAUGACGGUACCGUAAGAAUAAGCACCGGCUAACUACGUGCCAGCAGCCGCGGUAAUACGCAGGGUGCGAGCGUUAAUCGGAAUUACUGGGCGUAAAGCGUGCGCAGGCGGUGCUGUAAGACAGGCGUGAAAUCCCCGGGCUCAACCUGGGAAUUGCGCUUGUGACUGCAGUGCUGGAGUACGGCAGAGGGGGAUGGAAUUCCGCGUGUAGCAGUGAAAUGCGUAGAUAUGCGGAGGAACACCGAUGGCGAAGGCAGUCCCCUGGGCCUGUACUGACGCUCAUGCACGAAAGCGUGGGGAGCAAACAGGAUUAGAAACCCUUGUAGUCC
Molecule: ribosomal RNA, 450 nt
Filed under: uncultured bacterium
Lineage: Bacteria
Description: partial 16S ribosomal RNA
Rfam family: Bacterial small subunit ribosomal RNA
Source: RNAcentral